This 451-nucleotide ribosomal RNA is filed under the name Leptobrachella itiokai. RNAcentral's name for it is "partial 16S ribosomal RNA". It matches the Rfam family "Bacterial large subunit ribosomal RNA", at positions 1968 to 2597 of the family's 2925-position model. Lineage: Eukaryota; Metazoa; Chordata; Amphibia; Anura; Megophryidae. The record is from RNAcentral.
CUUGUCUUCUAAAUAAAGACUAGUAUGAAUGGCGCCACGAGGACUAAGCUGUCUCCCCCCUCUAAUCAGUGAAACUGAUCCCCCCGUGCAAAAGCGGGGAUAAAGCCAUAAGACGAGAAGACCCUGUGGAACUUAAAAUUUACAAUCACCGGCCCUUAAUUUCCCAAUCAGUGGCACAAACCUGAUUUGUAUUUUCAGCUGGGGCGUCUGUGGAGAAAAAAUUACCCUCCAUGAAGAAUUUAACCUAAGAGCUACACCUCUAAGCAUUAAUACCCUUAACUUUACUUGACCUAAUUAUAUUCGUCAACGGACCAAGUUACCCCAGGGAUAACAGCGCAAUCCACUUCUAGAGUUCCUAUCGACAAGUGGGCUUACGACCUCGAUGUUGGAUCAGGGCAUCCUAGUGGUGCAGCCACUACUAAAGGUUCGUUUGUUCAACGAUUAAAGCCCU